This 1359-nucleotide ribosomal RNA is filed under the name uncultured bacterium. Its description in RNAcentral is "bacterial SSU rRNA". It matches the Rfam family "Bacterial small subunit ribosomal RNA", at positions 28 to 1381 of the family's 1533-position model. The record is from RNAcentral.
GAUGAACGCUAGCUACAGGCUUAACACAUGCAAGUCGAGGGGCAGCAUUUUAGUUUGCUUGCAAACUAAAGAUGGCGACCGGCGCACGGGUGAGUAACACGUAUCCAACCUGCCGAUAACUCGGGGAUAGCCUUUCGAAAGAAAGAUUAAUAUCCGAUAGUAUAUUAAAACCGCAUGGUUUUACUAUUAAAGAAUUUUGGUUAUCGAUGGGGAUGCGUUCCAUUAGUUUGUUGGCGGGGUAACGGCCCACCAAGACUACGAUGGAUAGGGGUUCUGAGAGGAAGGUCCCCCACAUUGGAACUGAGACACGGUCCAAACUCCUACGGGAGGCAGCAGUGAGGAAUAUUGGUCAAUGGGCGAGAGCCUGAACCAGCCAAGUAGCGUGAAGGAUGAAGGCUCUAUGGGUCGUAAACUUCUUUUAUAUGGGAAUAAAGUUUUCCACGUGUGGAAUUUUGUAUGUACCAUAUGAAUAAGGAUCGGCUAACUCCGUGCCAGCAGCCGCGGUAAUACGGAGGAUCCGAGCGUUAUCCGGAUUUAUUGGGUUUAAAGGGAGCGUAGGUGGAUUGUUAAGUCAGUUGUGAAAGUUUGCGGCUCAACCGUAAAAUUGCAGUUGAAACUGGCAGUCUUGAGUACAGUAGAGGUGGGCGGAAUUCGUGGUGUAGCGGUGAAAUGCUUAGAAAUCACGAAGAACUCCGAUUGCGAAGGCAGCUCACUAGACUGUCACUGACACUGAUGCUCGAAAGUGUGGGUAUCAAACAGGAUUAGAUACCCUGGUAGUCCACACAGUAAACGAUGAAUACUCGCUGUUUGCGAUAUACAGUAAGCGGCCAAGCGAAAGCAUUAAGUAUUCCACCUGGGGAGUACGCCGGCAACGGUGAAACUCAAAGGAAUUGACGGGGGCCCGCACAAGCGGAGGAACAUGUGGUUUAAUUCGAUGAUACGCGAGGAACCUUACCCGGGCUUAAAUUGCAACAGAAUAUAUUGGAAACAGUAUAGCCGUAAGGCUGUUGUGAAGGUGCUGCAUGGUUGUCGUCAGCUCGUGCCGUGAGGUGUCGGCUUAAGUGCCAUAACGAGCGCAACCCUUAUCUUUAGUUACUAACAGGUGAUGCUGAGGACUCUAGAGAGACUGCCGUCGUAAGAUGUGAGGAAGGUGGGGAUGACGUCAAAUCAGCACGGCCCUUACGUCCGGGGCUACACACGUGUUACAAUGGGGGGUACAGAAGGCUGCUACCUGGUGACAGGAUGCUAAUCCCAAAAACCUCUCUCAGUUCGGAUCGAAGUCUGCAACCCGACUUCGUGAAGCUGGAUUCGCUAGUAAUCGCGCAUCAGCCAUGGCGCGGUGAAUACGUUCCCGGGCCU